This 497-nucleotide ribosomal RNA is filed under the name uncultured bacterium. Its description in RNAcentral is "partial 16S ribosomal RNA". It matches the Rfam family "Bacterial small subunit ribosomal RNA", at positions 28 to 507 of the family's 1533-position model. The record is from RNAcentral.
GAUGAACGCUGGCGGCGUGCCUAAUACAUGCAAGUCGAGCGAACAGACGAGGAGCUUGCUCCUCUGACGUUAGCGGCGGACGGGUGAGUAACACGUGGAUAACCUACCUAUAAGACUGGGAUAACUUCGGGAAACCGGAGCUAAUACCGGAUAAUAUAUUGAACCGCAUGGUUCAAUAGUGAAAGACGGUUUUGCUGUCACUUAUAGAUGGAUCCGCGCCGCAUUAGCUAGUUGGUAAGGUAACGGCUUACCAAGGCAACGAUGCGUAGCCGACCUGAGAGGGUGAUAGGCCGCCUUGGAACUGGGCCAGGGUCCAGACUCCUACGGGAGGCAGCAGUAGGGAAUGUUACGCAAUGGGCGAGAGCCUGACGGAGCAACGCCGCGUGAGUGAUGAAGGUCUUCGGAUCGUAAAGCUCUGUUAUUAGGGAAGAACAAAUGUGUAAGUAAAUAUGCACGUCUUGACGGUACCUAGUCAGAAAGCCCCGGCUAACUACGUG